Molecule: non-coding RNA, 190 nt
Filed under: Bacillus sp. FJAT-50079
Lineage: Bacteria; Bacillati; Bacillota; Bacilli; Caryophanales; Bacillaceae
Description: 6S / SsrS RNA
Rfam family: 6S / SsrS RNA
About the family: E. coli 6S RNA was the first non coding RNA to be sequenced, but its function was unknown until recently. It consists of 184 nucleotides that fold into an extended hairpin structure with a large single-stranded internal bulge.
Source: Rfam by way of RNAcentral
AAAGUCCUGAUGUGUUCGUCUUAACACCUUUACGUUUUGACCUACAAUCUUUACCUUCGGGAGUUUGGAGUUUCUAGUCUGAAUAGCAAGCCUCCCCGAGAGGACGCGUGAAGUCUGGAGCAGAACACCCACCUGCUAAGUGCGGGUAUCAAAACAUAGGAUUUACUGGGACGGCACGAUUGGGACUUUU